CGCAGCCAUGGACAUACUCUCCAGCCCGAUCUCCAAUUCUCUCUCUACGACGAACAGAAUGAGAAGCCGAAUCCAUGUUCUUAAAAAGCUGAUCCAUUACAAGUUGAGACCAAUUCAACUGUCCAAUUUCGUCCACAUUUUCAAUAUAAUAGAAGAGUCUUAAAGGAAUUGUCAUCUUCGAUGUUGGUAAUAGGAAUGAUGAGAAUAAUAGGCAAAGCCAUAAUUUAAAACAAUCCAGAACAUGAU
This 246-nucleotide long non-coding RNA is filed under the name Zostera marina. Its description in RNAcentral is "long non-coding RNA (ZMAR_LNC001158)". Lineage: Eukaryota; Viridiplantae; Streptophyta; Magnoliopsida; Alismatales; Zosteraceae. The record is from RNAcentral.